UCGAAGUUUAUCCUAGUACACUUUUCUAUCAGAUAUUUCCUCUCUCCUCUUUUUUAACCAUAAAACCCUUUCUCUCUCCUCAUUACUUUAAUACUAAUACUUUAUGUACUAUAUUUUAUAAGUAUUCAUGGUGCCAUCAGCUCACAGUUUAUGAAUUCGCCGACAAUCCAACAGCUCCGAUUCUAUCAAACGUUCCUCGUUGACCGCAGCUCCGUCUUCGGAAAAUGGAUGCAGGAGGAGGAUCCGGCGAAUUUGGAUAUUACUCCGUCCUCGGGAUUUGCCAGGACGCCUCAUUCUCCGACAUUUGCUCCGCUUAUCGCAAGCUCGCUUUGGUAAAGUUAAUAUGACGUCAUUUUUUCUCUUUUUCCGAUUCGUUUUUAUAUUUCCGGUUGUGUAAUUUUUUUGAUUUUGUGAAGAAAUGGCACCCUGACAGAUGCGCGAAGAACCCGACGUGCGCCGACGAAGCCAAUCACCGGUUCCANNNNNNNNNNNNNNNN
Molecule: long non-coding RNA, 497 nt
Filed under: Panax ginseng (ginseng)
Lineage: Eukaryota; Viridiplantae; Streptophyta; Magnoliopsida; Apiales; Araliaceae
Description: long non-coding RNA (PGIN_LNC013037)
Source: RNAcentral